Molecule: ribosomal RNA, 253 nt
Filed under: uncultured bacterium
Lineage: Bacteria
Description: partial 16S ribosomal RNA
Rfam family: Bacterial small subunit ribosomal RNA
Source: RNAcentral
UACGGAGGGUGCAAGCGUUAUCCGGAUUCACUGGGUUUAAAGGGUGCGUAGGUGGCUUUGUAAGUCAGUGGUGAAAUCUCGGAGCUUAACUCCGAAACUGCCAUUGAUACUGCUUAGCUUGAAUCAGGUAGAGGUGGAUGGAAUAUUACAUGUAGCGGUGAAAUGCUUAGAUAUGUGAUAGAACACCGAUUGCGAAGGCAGUCCACUAUGCUAGCAUUGACGCUGAUGCACGAAAGCGUGGGGAGCAAACAGG